Molecule: ribosomal RNA, 472 nt
Filed under: uncultured bacterium
Lineage: Bacteria
Description: bacterial SSU rRNA
Rfam family: Bacterial small subunit ribosomal RNA
Source: RNAcentral
UGGGGAAUAUUGGACAAUGGGCGAAAGCCUGAUCCAGCCAUGCCGCGUGUGUGAAGAAGGUCUUCGGAUUGUAAAGCACUUUAAGUUGGGAGGAAGGGCAUUAACCUAAUACGUUAGUGUUUUGACGUUACCGACAGAAUAAGCACCGGCUAACUUCGUGCCAGCAGCCGCGGUAAUACGAAGGGUGCAAGCGUUAAUCGGAAUUACUGGGCGUAAAGCGCGCGUAGGUGGUUUGUUAAGUUGAAUGUGAAAGCCCCGGGCUCAACCUGGGAACUGCAUCCAAAACUGGCAAGCUAGAGUAUGGCAGAGGGUGGUGGAAUUUCCUGUGUAGCGGUGAAAUGCGUAGAUAUAGGAAGGAACACCAGUGGCGAAGGCGACCACCUGGACUGAUACUGACACUGAGGUGCGAAAGCGUGGGGAGCAAACAGGAUUAGAUACCCCCGUAGUCCCUGAGCGGGCUGGCAAGGCGCAU